Molecule: transfer RNA, 58 nt
Filed under: Camponotus atrox
Lineage: Eukaryota; Metazoa; Arthropoda; Insecta; Hymenoptera; Formicidae
Description: tRNA-Ser
Source: RNAcentral
GUAGUAAUUUAAUUUGAACUUCUAAUUCAAAACCUUAAUGAUUUUUCAUUUUACUCCA